Long non-coding RNA from Thalassophryne amazonica, 218 nucleotides. RefSeq lists it as uncharacterized. The transcript has 3 exons. The record is from RefSeq and is a predicted model, not a curated record. Lineage: Eukaryota; Metazoa; Chordata; Actinopteri; Batrachoidiformes; Batrachoididae.
UCAGCAAAGGAGAAGCAGAGCCAGCGUCCGAACACUGCGAGCUGCAGCUCCGCGGAGCUCAGUGAAGCCAAGGAGAGGAGGGUCAGAGGAAAUACACGGGAGUUUCUCCCCACACUGCUGUUUGACCGAGGAGCUGCUGCCGCAUGAUGCCGCUGCUGCUCCACACUGUGGGGGGACACCGCCCUCUAGCGGGAGAUAGCGAUGUUACAGAUACUCGG